RNAcentral lists this ribosomal RNA (399 nucleotides) under Triticum aestivum (bread wheat). RNAcentral's name for it is "partial small subunit ribosomal RNA". Lineage: Eukaryota; Viridiplantae; Streptophyta; Magnoliopsida; Poales; Poaceae. The record is from RNAcentral.
AUGGGGCGGCUACCCGCCUUUUUCGGUGGUGGCGGCCCCCGUGGUCAUGUGUAUGGCGUGGAGGCUAGGUCUUGUGGUGCUGACGGCUUCUAUGAGGAUGGCGGAGGUAUGGGACGCCCCCUCCACCAACAAAUCGGGUUUGAUGCGGCUCGGCGGGUGACACAUGUAUCUCUUCUGGAAGCGUCAUGGCAUGCCUGCCACCAACAGGUGCUAUGCAUGAUAUCUCAUGCGCAGACGUCAAGUCAUGCUUGCCGUCGGCAGAUGCUAUAUGGUGGGUUUGACAGAGUUGUCAUGCUUAGCUUGUUCCUAUUGUAUCGAAGGUGGUGCGACGGAGACCGGAGGCGAGGCAACAUGGGACGUCUUUGUCUUCCGGUUUCACCUACUGCAAUAUCUGGCUAG